Long non-coding RNA from Sander lucioperca (pikeperch), 71 nucleotides. RefSeq lists it as uncharacterized. The transcript has 3 exons. NCBI's taxonomy places the organism in Eukaryota, Metazoa, Chordata, Actinopteri, Perciformes, Percidae. The record is from RefSeq and is a predicted model, not a curated record.
AAUCAGUAAUUGCAGGUGUGUUUUUGAAUCUCACUUCCCAGAGAUCCAAACACCCUGUGUCUCUGUUGGAA